GACGAACGCUGGCGGCGUGCCUAAUACAUGCAAGUUGAGCGCUGAAGGUUGGUACUUGUACCAACUGGAUGAGCAGCGAACGGGUGAGUAACGCGUGGGGAAUCUGCCUUUGAGCGGGGGACAACAUUUGGAAACGAAUGCUAAUACCGCAUAAAAACUUUAAACACAAGUUUUAAGUUUGAAAGAUGCAAUUGCAUCACUCAAAGAUGAUCCCGCGUUGUAUUAGCUAGUUGGUGAGGUAAAGGCUCACCAAGGCGAUGAUACAUAGCCGACCUGAGAGGGUGAUCGGCCACAUUGGGACUGAGAAACGGCCCAAACUCCUACGGGAGGCAGCAGUAGGGAAUCUUCGGCAAUAGACGAAAGUCUGACCGAGCAACGGCGCGUGAGUGAAGAAGGUUUUCGGAUCGUAAAACUCUGUUGGUAGAGAAGAACGUUGGUGAGAGUGGAAAGCUCAUCAAGUGACGGUAACUACACAGAAAGGGACGGCUAACUACGUG
This 497-nucleotide ribosomal RNA is filed under the name uncultured bacterium. Its description in RNAcentral is "partial 16S ribosomal RNA". It matches the Rfam family "Bacterial small subunit ribosomal RNA", at positions 28 to 507 of the family's 1533-position model. The record is from RNAcentral.